GGGGUCGACUGGUUUUGACAGCGAGAUUAAUAGAGUGGUAAGCACGUCGAGCGCUGAGAUACAGCUCGUAAAUAUCAUAUUUCACCUUUUUUAAACGGCGAGAAUAACUACGCCCUAGCUGCAUAAUCCGAAUUAUAGUAGGAUAGUGCCUCGGUCUACUAGGUAGACAAGCAGGAUACUCUUCAGAAGCCUUGGUUUAUGGCGUUUGGUUUUGAGUAUCGUAAAAAUAAACCUAGAAACUAUAGGAUCUUGAUAUAGUUUCGAAAUCAAUUGAGAAUAAGGGGUGCGUUGGCGGUUUUUGGCCGGCAAUCCCACGAAAAUCUAAACAAAAACUAAGCGUGUAGAAAGCUAUUGUAUUACUUGUUUGGACGAGGGUUCGAAUCCCUCCGACUCCACAG
Molecule: transfer-messenger RNA, 398 nt
Filed under: Aquimarina latercula
Lineage: Bacteria; Pseudomonadati; Bacteroidota; Flavobacteriia; Flavobacteriales; Flavobacteriaceae
Also listed under: 2 other names
Description: Standard tmRNA
Rfam family: transfer-messenger RNA
About the family: Bacterial tmRNA, also known as 10Sa RNA or SsrA, is named for its dual tRNA and mRNA-like properties. Its role is to liberate the mRNA from a stalled ribosome.
Source: RNAcentral